UGAAAAGCAUUGUUACAAAAGCAUUACCAAAAAUUCAAGAAUACUCUGAUGUGACUCAGAUGGUUUGUCCUUCAUCUGAAGAAAGGAUUCCUUGCACUUAGCCUCUGCAAGUACACAAAGCCUGAGAUACAGUGAUGCUACUUCAGGAAUGACAUUACCAACAGGAGUUUCAGACUUUUUGCUGGAAUGUUUGGAUAUGGAGACUACUCUGGACUGUAGUUAUACCACA
Thamnophis sirtalis is the source of this 229-nucleotide non-coding RNA. NCBI's taxonomy places the organism in Eukaryota, Metazoa, Chordata, Lepidosauria, Squamata, Natricidae. The record is from RefSeq and is a predicted model, not a curated record.